AACGAACGCUGGCGGCAUGCCUAACACAUGCAAGUCGAACGAGGCCCUUCGGGGUUUAGUGGCGCACGGGUGCGUAACGCGUGGGAAUCUGCCCUUUGGUUCGGAAUAACAGCUGGAAACGGCUGCUAAUACCGGAUGAUGACGAAAGUCCAAAGAUUUAUCGCCAGAGGAUGAGCCCGCGUUGGAUUAGGUAGUUGGUGGGGUAAAGGCCUACCAAGCCGACGAUCCAUAGCUGGUCUGAGAGGAUGAUCAGCCACACUGGGACUGAGACACGGCCCAGACUCCUACGGGAGGCAGCAGUGGGGAAUAUUGGACAAUGGGCGCAAGCCUGAUCCAGCAAUGCCGCGUGAGUGAUGAAGGCCCUAGGGUUGUAAAGCUCUUUUACCCGGGAAGAUAAUGACUGUACCGGGAGAAUAAGCCCCGGCUAACUCCGAAGGG
RNAcentral lists this ribosomal RNA (438 nucleotides) under uncultured bacterium. RNAcentral describes it as "bacterial SSU rRNA". It matches the Rfam family "Bacterial small subunit ribosomal RNA", at positions 29 to 510 of the family's 1533-position model. The record is from RNAcentral.